CCUACGGGAGGCAGCAGUGAGGAAUAUUGGUCAAUGGGCGCGAGCCUGAUCCAGCCAAGUCGCGUGAGGGAGGACGGCCCUACGGGUUGUAAACCUCUUUUGCCGGGGAGCAACGGGCGCCACGUGUGGCGUCACGGAGAGUACCCGGAGAAAAAGCAUCGGCUAACUCCGUGCCAACAGCCGCGGUAAUACGGGGGAUGCGGGCGUUAUCCGGAUUUAUUGGGUUUAAAGGGAGCGUAGAUGGGUUGUUAAGUCAGUUGUGAAAGUUUGCGGCUCAACCGUAAAAGUGCAAUUGAUACUGGCAGUCUUGAGUACAGUUGAGGUAGGCGGAAUUCGUGGUGUAGCGGUGAAAUGCUUAGAUAUCACGAAGAACUCCGAUUGCGAAGGCAGCUUACUAAACUGCCACUGACAUUGAUGCUCGAAAGUGUGGGUAUCAAACAGGAUUAGAUACCCGAGUAGUC
This 461-nucleotide ribosomal RNA is filed under the name uncultured bacterium. RNAcentral describes it as "partial 16S ribosomal RNA". It matches the Rfam family "Bacterial small subunit ribosomal RNA", at positions 338 to 795 of the family's 1533-position model. The record is from RNAcentral.